RNAcentral lists this long non-coding RNA (1151 nucleotides) under Marmota monax (woodchuck). The record is from RNAcentral. Lineage: Eukaryota; Metazoa; Chordata; Mammalia; Rodentia; Sciuridae.
AUCAAACUCUUUUCAAGUAACUAUGUACCAGAACAGAGCUCAAGAAUAUAAGAAUGAAAAAAACCAUGCAGCACUAACAAACAUAAACAAAAAAUAUAUAUACAUCAAUCAUACAAAGAAGCAGGAAAAUAUCCAAAAUGAGAAGAAAAACCAGUCAAAACCAACCCAGCAAUGACAUAGAUGACAUUAAAACAGUUAUUAUAUGCUUGUGAUCAAUAUGUUGAAGAAGCUAAGAUUAAGAGUUAGGAAAAUGGUCAGAUGGUAAAUAUUUUUGUUUUGUGUCAUAUACAACUUCUGGUAUAACUCAACUCUGCUGGAGCACAAAAGCAGCCAUAAUGUGUCAACAAAUUAGUGUUUCUGUGUAAUGAAUUACAGAUCUAUUUCUAAAGCAGACAUAGUGGGUUGGAUUUGACCUACCAGUGGUAAUAAUAAACAACUAAAUAACAAUUUAUAAUUAUUCUGUAUCUCUGAACAAGAGGAGAGAUGGAACAGUUUAAUAAAGACAUGGAAGAUACACAUUUUUAAAAAGAGACACAAAUGAAUUUUCCAGAGAUGAAAACAACAAUAAGGUGCAAAAAAUACACUUGGUGUUAAUUUCAGAGUAGAUGAAGGAGAGAAUAGUGAACUUGAAGACAUAGCAGUAAAAACUAUCUAAAGUGAAGAAACAGGAAAAGUCUGGAAAAAAGGACAAGCAUUAGUGAGUGAGCUGUGGUCUGUCUUCAAGCAUGCUUAUUUACAUGUAAUUGGAAUCAUUGAAGGAGAGGGUGUGACUCAAGUGAUGUAUGAGGAAAUAAUGGCUGAAUUUUUUUUUUAAACAUUGUUAAAAACUUUUAAACCACAGAUCCAAGAAACUCAGUAAAUCCCAAGUGUGAAACUACACAGAAGCACAUCAGAAUCAAAUUGAUUAAAACCAGUGAUAGAGAAAAAUCUUAAAAGCAACAGAGACAAAAGACAAAUUAUUUACAAAAGAGCAAAGGUAAGGAAGGAUGAUAGCAAGUUUUUCAUCUGAACCUUUGCUAUGGAUAAGACAGUGAAGCAAGAGCUUUCAGGUGCUCAAAGGGUUUGGAAAAAUGCCUGUCGACCUAGAGUUCUCUACCCACUGAAGGCAAAAUAAAACUUUUUAAGACAUACUAGAAAUGGAAAGAAUUUUU